This 28-nucleotide small RNA is filed under the name Bombyx mori (domestic silkworm). RNAcentral describes it as "ovarian small RNA-30103". Lineage: Eukaryota; Metazoa; Arthropoda; Insecta; Lepidoptera; Bombycidae. The record is from RNAcentral.
UCUUAUGGUGGAAUCCUAUUGAAUUUGA